Molecule: ribosomal RNA, 550 nt
Filed under: uncultured Funneliformis
Lineage: Eukaryota; Fungi; Glomeromycota; Glomeromycetes; Glomerales; Glomeraceae
Description: SSU rRNA
Rfam family: Eukaryotic small subunit ribosomal RNA
Source: RNAcentral
UUGGAGGGCAAGUCUGGUGCCAGCAGCCGCGGUAAUUCCAGCUCCAAUAGCGUAUAUUAAAGUUGUUGCAGUUAAAAAGCUCGUAGUUGAAUUUCGGGAUCAAUGUUUCGGUCAUGCCGUUGGUAUGUACUGAUAUUAUUGAUUUCUCACCUUCUAAAGAACCGUAAUGCCAUUAAUUUGGUGUCACGGGGAAUUAGGACUGUUACCUUGAAAAAAUUAGAGUGUUUAAAGCAGGCUCACGCUUGAAUACAUUUUCAUGGAAUAAUGAAAUAGGACAUCCGAUUCUAUUUUGUUGGUUUCUAGGAUCGAUGUAAUGAUUAAUAGGGAUAGUUGGGGGCAUUAGUAUUCAAUUGUCAGAGGUGAAAUUCUUGGAUUUAUUGAAGACUAACUACUGCGAAAGCAUUUGCCAAGGAUGUUUUCAUUAAUCAAGAACGAAAGUUAGGGGAUCGAAGACGAUCAGAUACCGUCGUAGUCUUAACCAUAAACUAUGCCGACUAGGGAUCGGAUGAUGUUAAUUUUUUAAUGACUCAUUCGGCGCCUUACGGGAAAC